Molecule: long non-coding RNA, 600 nt
Organism: Ipomoea nil (Japanese morning glory)
Lineage: Eukaryota; Viridiplantae; Streptophyta; Magnoliopsida; Solanales; Convolvulaceae
Exons: 2
Source: RefSeq, a predicted model, not a curated record
UUUAAACAUGAUGAAUGAGUAGGUGUGGAGUUGGCGUUGUGUGAACCAAGCUAUUGAAAUGGAUAAAACCCAGCGUCCGAGAAGACAAAAAGGGUAUUGAUCGAGCCAUUCAACGUUAGUUACUAUAUCGGCUAAACAUCGUUCAAAUUUCUAUAGGUAAUUCCCCAAAUCUCUUUGUUCUUCCAAUAUUAUUUCUGGAAGGAAUCGUUGUUGGUAUGGAUAACAAGGAAGUUGGGAAGGAGGUUUUUGAGGAAGCCAUAAGGGAGUCACUGAUUUCAAUAUCUCACUCAGCUCCAGCAAGGAAGAAAGCUGCUGCAGCUUCUGGUUUGGAUUUGCAGAAUGGGGUGAAGGGUGUAGGAGAUGGUAAUGGUGAUGACAAGUACAGGUCUAAGUUGAUUUCAAUAUCCUUCUCUAACUCACCAGAUGCCAAAGUUUAACCUGGAGAAGUUUAGGGAUGGCUUUGCUGAUAUAGCCAGUUUUCAUGUUUCUGCUAUGUUGUUGUCAUAUGUUGUUAUUUGGAGAGGAAGCAAAACUAUGCUUUCAUCUUUUCAUAUCAAAAGCUUGCUUAAUAAUUGUAUGUUUUUUUUUUUUUUUUUUUUU